This 78-nucleotide transfer RNA is filed under the name Thermococcus waiotapuensis. RNAcentral describes it as "tRNA-Lys". It matches the Rfam family "tRNA". From Rfam's summary of the family: Transfer RNA (tRNA) molecules are approximately 80 nucleotides in length. The record is from RNAcentral. Lineage: Archaea; Methanobacteriati; Methanobacteriota; Thermococci; Thermococcales; Thermococcaceae. RNAcentral also lists the same sequence under 3 other names.
GGGCCGGUAGCUCAGCAUGGUUAGAGCGCGGGACUCUUAAUCCCGUGGUCGGGGGUUCGAAUCCCCCUCGGCCCGCCA